UCUGAUGGUCAGCAUAUCCUCUGCAACACAAGGAGCGUUCCCGAUUUCUCGUGACUCAUACCCGCGCACAUGGCGAAGAAGGCAACCAAACACGCGAUGGCAAUUG
This 106-nucleotide non-coding RNA is filed under the name Craspedostauros australis. The record is from RNAcentral. Lineage: Eukaryota; Bacillariophyta; Bacillariophyceae; Mastogloiales; Achnanthaceae.